This 525-nucleotide ribosomal RNA is filed under the name uncultured Flavobacterium sp. RNAcentral's name for it is "bacterial SSU rRNA". It matches the Rfam family "Bacterial small subunit ribosomal RNA", at positions 9 to 525 of the family's 1533-position model. The record is from RNAcentral. Lineage: Bacteria; Pseudomonadati; Bacteroidota; Flavobacteriia; Flavobacteriales; Flavobacteriaceae.
GAGUUUGAUCCUGGCUCAGGAUGAACGCUAGCGGCAGGCUUAACACAUGCAAGUCGAGGGGUAACAGAGAAAAGCUUGCUUUUUUGCUGACGACCGGCGAACGGGUGCGUAACGCGUAUAGAAUCUGCCUUGUACAGGAGGAUAGCCUUUAGAAAUGAAGAUUAACACUCCAUAAUACUGAGAUGUGGCAUCACAAUUUAGUUAAACAUUUAUGGGUACAAGAUGACUAUGCGUCCUAUUAGCUAGAUGGUAAGGUAACGGCUUACCAUGGCAACGAUAGGUAGGGGGUCUGAGAGGAUUAUCCCCCACACUGGUACUGAGACACGGACCAGACUCCUACGGGAGGCAGCAGUGAGGAAUAUUGGUCAAUGGAGGCAACUCUGAACCAGCCAUGCCGCGUGCAGGAAGACUGCCCUAUGGGUUGUAAACUGCUUUUAUACAGGAAGAAACAGUCGUACGUGUACGGCCUUGACGGUACUGUAGGAAUAAGGACCGGCUAACUCCGUGCCAGCAGCCGCGGUAAUA